Molecule: long non-coding RNA, 1009 nt
Filed under: Zonotrichia albicollis (white-throated sparrow)
Lineage: Eukaryota; Metazoa; Chordata; Aves; Passeriformes; Passerellidae
Description: lncRNA (ENSZALG00000000662.1)
Source: RNAcentral
UGGCAAUGUUCUCCUUCAUUAUUAUUUUUUUUUUUCACAGGAGGCAAAACGGAUCUGGUGGAGGUUCCUCUUAUCCUUCCACUGUACGUGAUCAGUCUCUUUAAUAAUUGUGCAAGGCAGGACUAUCCCACUGGCUCCAGCAGCAGCGCCUUACCCACAGAGGGUUCGGGUGGAUAAAUAAUUAAAAUCCUAUCCCUCGGCUUAGCGAAGGAAAAAGAAAAUAUUGACUCGCAUCCUUCUUCUUUUCCAUACAUCAACUGCACCCGGAUUCACCCUGGAUAGUGCAGGUGAAGAGGAGGAAAAAAAAAAAAAAAAAAAAAGAACGGAAAGAAGAGAAAAAGCCCACCCUAGUCCGCCCCGGCGCCCUCGGCUGUCUUCUCCGAAGGCUUUCUGAGCUUUCUGUCUCUGUCCUGGCGGGCUGUGCCUCUCCCCAAAGCCGCCUCGCCGCGCAGGAUGGAAGAAGCACUGAAGGGCACACUGGUCUCUUUGCUCCCCCUUUAUUCCAAGGCUGGGCGGCUUUGCUUCAGAUAUCCCCGCUCCGGGCAUGAAGCGAUCCCAGCCGAUGGAAGAAAAAAAAAAAAAAAAAAAAGAAGAAAGAAAGAAAGAAAACCCAUAUAUAUGAGAUAGGCUUGGAUAUUGGACCAGAGGAGAGAUCAGUCCCAGGAGGAUGUUGGUACAGGAAAGGAGGCGGCUCUCGUUGCUCUGCCAGUGUAAUGAUGGUGCUCACACAUGUAGGACUCCUCGGGUGCGGGGUAUCCUUUGGUCUCUGGGCUAAACUGGCUACAAGGCAUUCAACUUCAGUUCACGCCGGAGAUCUCCGCGCUCCCCCGGUCUCCCCCGCCGCGUCAGGCAGGACACCCCCUCCGCGGGGGGGGGAAAAGGCUCCGCCGCGCCGCUUCCUCUCGUCGCCUCUCCGCGGCCGCGCCCGCCCGCGCCUCCGCCAUCCAGCGCCGGGCUCCGCGCCCCCGCUCCGCAGCCGUGCGGCACUUCCGCGCCUGGGGCACGGCCC